Long non-coding RNA from Musca domestica (house fly), 4009 nucleotides. RefSeq lists it as uncharacterized. The transcript has 3 exons. NCBI's taxonomy places the organism in Eukaryota, Metazoa, Arthropoda, Insecta, Diptera, Muscidae. The record is from RefSeq and is a predicted model, not a curated record.
UUCCCUUCGUAGAAAAUUCUAACUGUUGCAGCUACUUAAUGGAACCAAAACACAAAAGACAGGUCACUCACAAUACAUACAUUGUUAUACAAGUUAUUGCAUUGACCGGAAGUAUUAUACUAAAUAUCCUAUUUUACCUUAAAACUAAUAUUGCACAUUAACAUGUUUUCAACAGAAAAACAUGGCUCAAUAUCAGUCAGGCCUAAGAAUAUUGCUAUAAUACUUAUUACUAUGACUUUCCCUAUGGUCUAUUUUAUUGCACGUAGUUGGUAUUGCACAAAAAAUCCUAAUCUCGGUUCUAAAUGAUCCUAUUUUUUAAGAUUGGGCGCCAUCUGUUACAUUCCCCAAUGUGGCGGAGCUAGAAUGAACCAUCCGACUUGCUCGCGGGCUCAGGGUCUCGGUUCUCAACCAUCCAUGUCUAACACCUCAGGGCGAACAUAUUUAUUUAUUUUUUUUUAAAUGAGAACAAGAAGCGACACAAAAAAAUUUACAAGCAAACGGGAAUAUUGAUGUCUUUAUUCCCACAACAGGCAAGGCCUGGAUGAAAGGAAAUUGAGGAAGAAGCUAGUUAAUAACAAGGCCGAAUGGUGGAGGGCCCUUCAAGCAGUUCAUUUUAAGCGACACGGAGGAAGCAGCAUCGCGCUUGUUACAAUCAGAGACAAUUGUAAAUGCAGGGAACCAAGCAAUUGGAAUUCAACAGCGUCCAACACUUGGUGAACUAGAGAUUGAGGAGGAACUGUUUGAACGGUUUGAAAUUAGUGAAGACAAAGAAAACCACAAUCCCUGCACACUGACUCCUCCAAGCGUAAACAGACUACACCGAAAUACGCAACAGAAGCAGGUUGUUGAUAUCCAGGAUGUCUGUACACAAAUAAACCGCAUCAAAAUGAACUUAAGGAAGGGCUUCCAACGACUUAUUCAAAAACUGACCUCAAAUAUGAACUUCUUGAAGAGCAGCUGAAGGUGCAAGCAGAAUUAUACAGUGAUGUUAAACGAUCAUUAAAUGAUAUUGAGAGGUAACAACGCAAAAACUUCAAACUGAAUGAAGAGUUGUUAAAACAAAGAAAAAUUAGUUAUAAGUUAAAGGAAGAAAAAUUAAAACUUCUUAAAGAAGAAUAUAAAAAUAAGUCGGAUUUCAAAAAGGAGUUAUUGUGAUGUAGGAAAGAUGAAACUAAAAGGAGGCGUCUGCAAUUAGAAGAAAUAAGGAGUGGAUUUCAGUGAAACCACUCAUGUUAAUAACAUGAAGCAUAGCUUUUAUAUUUUAAUUUUAAAAAUUAAUUUUAUAAUUUUAAUAAUAAAAUUAAUUAAAUAUUUAAAGAUAGCAUUAUUGAUGUUCUUAUGUCUAAUGCGUUCACACGACGUUGCGUUAACUAUCGGCAUUUCAAUUUUGAAAUGUAUGCAAAUAUUGUGUAAUUCUGCACAAAUUGCUGUUACUAUUCCACACAUAUCAGGGGUGUAAUGCAAUUGUCUCGCUCCUAAUAUACAACGAAAUAAUGCAAUUGCCUCGCUCCUAAUACACAACGAAAUCUGUUCUUCAACAUCCCGUUCAACUAUAUUUCUUGUUUUUGAAUGUCAAGUCAUCACUAAUUUUAUUUAAUAUACAGUACGUACCUAAUAUCCAUGUAUUUCUUUCGACAUUUUCAAACUUUUCUUACUUGUGCUGUUUCAAUUCACUUGAAUUCCAAACCAAUGAGAUGUGAUGAUAUAUAUCUAAUUCUUAAUUUGUGAUCACACACCCACAAUAAUAAAGAGAGUAAAGCUAUUUGCAUUAUUUAUAAGUUAUGCAACAUACCAACGUUACGUUAAGACUGUAGAAGCCUUUCCGGUUCAAGUAUUUGAAUCUCUCUUCCAUUUUUGGCGCAACAAUUUUUAUGUGCGUUCCAUCAAUACAUCCAAUCGCUCCAGGAAAUCCAGUAUUUUUCAAAAAAUGUUUCUUAAUUUCAUAUUUUUCUUCUUCUGUGGUGGGAAAAGAGAUCCAAUUUGGACACAGCUUAUCAUGCAAUACUUCUAUGCACUCGCAUUGACAUUGCUGACAGACGACCGUGAUAAACUGACAUUGAAAUCAUUAACAGCACCCUUUUGAUAACUUCCUUCAGCCAGUAUUCGAAUUGUUGCUGCUAGUUUUAGUGUGUUUGGGACAAUUGUAGUUUUAACCCGGUUACGAAGGUCUGGAGUGAUUUGAACCAAAACAUAUUUAAAUGCAUACUUACUUAGCCGGAAGUAACUAACAAAUCUAGAGAAAAAUAUUUAUUUUAGCUUCUUCCCCAUUUUACUUUUUACUUACUGAGAAUCAGUCAUGGAAAAUAUGUGAGACUCCUGCCGCAAUAUUUUUCGCCUCACGUUUAAAUCAUUUUAAAUAUAUACUCAUCUUCAUCCUCGGAUAAAAAAUUGCCAGCACUUAACAUAUUUCAAUAUUUAAUUAACCAAAUAACCGUUUUACUUUAACUAUUUCAACUGACGCUUUUAUUUCUUUUAAUCAGGUAGCUCGUGAAUUCUAAAAAUGUUUAUUAUUCCAGAGCACCCUGCUUUUUUACAUCUAUUACAAAAAAGACGUAGUCGAAAAUUGUACAUAAUACCAAUUUUUUUAGCACGGCCUACGACUACGUCUACGACACUUGAACGCCUACGACAACGCCAACCAUAAUAAGGGUGAUUAUUUUUAAUUUUCCAUCAGGUUUUCUUUUACACCAUAACCAUAGCGGGAAUUCUGCUCUGGCUCUGGUGCGCCGCCAGGAGCGAACCCUAUCCAUAGUAAUAAACGCGAGCAUCUCUUCAUGAAUGGGUGGAGGAGAAGCAGAAUUGUUUUCAUCCCUACGUUACUUUCGAUUGAUCAAACCCUAUUUAACGUUAUGCCAAAAAUAUUUAUUGAUUCAUUGUUUUCUUGUAAUAUUUUCAUGUUUAUUUUCCUGCAGCGACUUUUGGCCAAUUAUUGGUUGGUCAUGAACAUCCACCAUGUCUGUCCACGGAAACACACAAAAGUUUUCCUUAUUUUUUGCCAUUGGACUGGAUUUGCUGCCGUAUGGUUGUUUUACCCACAACAAUUCAUUAUAUUGGGCAAAUGUGACAACAGGAUAAGUACUUCAAUUCAUUUGAUUGAUAUAUCUAAUUAAUGUUUUUGUUUCUCUAUUUAGGUAAAUAUUCCCGGCUUCUGCAAUCUUUAUACUUGGUGUCCAGAUUGGUGCCCAAGUUGCUUUAAAUCAAUAUGUCCUGACAGUGCUGUGUAAUUUGCAGUCUGUUCCUUUCCUAAUGCCCUUUUUAUUUUCAUUUUAGCUCAAUAUUAGUUAUCAUUACGGUGAUACCGCCGUGGUACAACAUUGGGACUUUUACGUAGUUUGAAUCAGACUUUUGCAACUGCAACUUUGGUCUAACUUCGUAGGGCAUGAUGACAUAGUUCCGACCAGGUAUAGGGCCCCCAUAUGGUUAUGUGGUUUUGGUCCAGCUACAUGGCUCAAAAGCUGUAGCCUAAUUAGAAUUCACAACUACCUAACAUUUUCCAAUUUUGCCAUAGUAAGAUAGCUCCUCAGCGGAUGGCCUUACCUUCUUAAAUCUUUUACGUGACAAGUCCCUAAUGACUUACCUUGCAUAUCCUUAACUUCAAACAUAUUGUUUCCCACGGGUUUAACUAUCCUACAUUUUAGAUAUUUCCUGCAAAAUUUUGAGAUGAUGUUCUUUCCAACAUCACUUAAAAUAUGGUUCCGUCUAAAAACCUCCUGUCCAGGUAAAAAUUGUACUGCUCGCGCCGCGUUUGGCACUCCUCUCAUAUGCAUGGUGCAGGUUUUUUGCUAUUCUUUCCCUAAUGACCUCCAACCUUUCCUUCCGACCUAAGUCAUUUAUUGAGUGGUCAUAUAGUGACUUUAAAUUGGUGUACAUUUCGUAUCCGAAAAGAGCGAAAAAGGGUGUUACACCAGUGGCUGUAUGGAUUGAUGAUCUUAAUGCACAUUCAAUUUGUGUUAGGUAAACAUCCCAAUACCUAUGGUCAUCAUCUUAAUAAGCUCGAAUUGCGGCUAGU